AGGAUGCUUGUGAUUGUCGCGUUGCUUGUGUUGAGUGUGGCUGACUCCCAAUACCAAUAUUAUAACAAUGACAUCCCUAGCUACAUAAAACGAGCGUUAAAUGAAAAGAAUCGAUAUAAAGUAGCGCCAAAAGCAACGAGGCACAUCACUAACCUGACUCUUCCGGAAGUUGUGGAGAAAAUUAAGAAGAUCACGCUGUCUUUAAAUCAACAUGCAAAGAAAAAUGGAUAUUUUGUCGAUUAUAACUUCCGUAUAAUUGAUAAAGACUAAAUA
This is a long non-coding RNA of Pieris rapae (cabbage white), 273 nucleotides long. RefSeq lists it as uncharacterized. The transcript has 2 exons. The record is from RefSeq and is a predicted model, not a curated record. Lineage: Eukaryota; Metazoa; Arthropoda; Insecta; Lepidoptera; Pieridae.